RNAcentral lists this unclassified non-coding RNA (378 nucleotides) under plant metagenome. RNAcentral describes it as "partial contains 5.8S ribosomal RNA, internal transcribed spacer 2, and large subunit ribosomal RNA". The stretch from base 1 to 105 matches the Rfam family "5.8S ribosomal RNA", at positions 50 to 154 of the family's 154-position model. The record is from RNAcentral.
GAAAUGCGAUAAGUAAUGUGAAUUGCAGAAUUCAGUGAAUCAUCGAAUCUUUGAACGCACCUUGCGCUCCUUGGUAUUCCUGAGAGCAUGCCUGUUUGAGUAUCAUGAAAUCUUCAAAGUAAAUCUUUUGUUAACUCAAUUGGUUUCUACUUUGGUAUUGGAGGUCUUUGCAGCUUCACACCUGCUCCUCUUUGUUCAUUAGCUGGAUCUCAGUGUUAUGCUUGGUUCCACUCGGCGUGAUAAGUUAUCUAUCGCUGAGGACACUGUAAAAGGUGGCCAAGGUAAAUGCAGAUGAACCGCUUCUAAUAGUCCAUUGACUUGGACAAUACUUUUAUGAUCUGAUCUCAAAUCAGGUAGGACUACCCGCUGAACUUAAGC